Molecule: RNA transcript, 3769 nt
Organism: Gastrolobium bilobum
Lineage: Eukaryota; Viridiplantae; Streptophyta; Magnoliopsida; Fabales; Fabaceae
Gene name: disease resistance protein RPV1-like
Exons: 6
Source: RefSeq, a predicted model, not a curated record
AUGAUUGCAAGCCGUAUAGUGUGAGAAAAGAUUUGAAAGCUUGCCAAUCCAGAAGGAGCAGUUACCUCGUGACUCCGAUAAUUUGAUAUUCAAGACAUUAGAGGCAAAGAAAGAUUCCGAGUGCCCUUGUUCCAGCCUUGCAGCAUAGUCUUUGUCACUUGGCUGGUUAUUUCUAAAAGCGAAUAUGUUGUAUUUCUUUGUCUCCUUGUCAUUUCUUUCUGUGUUGUAUAUCUUUGUCUCCUGGUUAUGUCCAAAAUCGAAGGGUGUAGAGGUAAAGCCCAUGUCAAACAAUGCUCCUCAAAUAAAGUAUGAUGUUUUUGUUAGCUUCAGGGGCAAGGACAUUCGCCGUGGUUUUCUCAGUCAUUUGAUUGAAGCUUUUCGUAGAAACCAAAUAGAUGUCUUUGUAGAUGAUGGACUUGAGAGAGGACAUGAAAUAUCGUCAUCACUUUCUGGAGCAAUUGAAACAUCAUUAAUUUCAUUGAUCAUAUUCUCAGAAGACUAUGCUUCUUCACAUUGGUGUCUGGAAGAACUUGAGAAAAUAGUUGAGUGCAGAGAUAAAUAUGGACAGACUGUAAUACCUAUUUUCUACAAUGUAGAUCCCACAAAUGUGCGGCAUCAAAAGGAGAGUUAUGGAAAUGCGCUUUCUAAACAUGAAGAAAAUUAUAAUUUGACCAAGGUGCAAACAUGGAGGCAUGCUUUAAACAAAUCUGCUAAUUUAUCAGGAAUUAAGUCAUCAGAUUUCUGGGAUGAUGCCAAGCUCCUUGAUAAAAUCAUCAAAACUGUCAAUCAUGAAUUAAUGAUGAGGUUGAAUAAGCACCCAAUUCAGUCAAAAGGACUUAUUGGAAUUGGCAAACCAAUUGCACAUUUAGAAUCGUUGUUACGUCAAGAUUCAAAAGACGUACGUGUUAUUGGAAUUUGGGGUAUGGGCGGUAUUGGCAAGACAACCAUUGCACAAGAAGUAUUGAACAAACUAAGGUUUGAUUAUGAAGGUUGUUGUUUUUUGGCAAACAUAAGAGAAGAAUCAACAAGAGGUAGAAUCAAAUCCUUAAAAGAGAAACUCUUUUCUACAAUAUUAGCAGAAGAUGUAAAAAUUAACAUAGCAAAUGAAUUGCCUGGUGAUAUUAUGACGAGGCUCGGUCGUAUGAAGGUUCUCAUUGUUCUAGAUGACGUCAAUGAUCCAGAUCAACUAGAAAUUUUAGUUGGAGGUCAUGAUCGAUUUGGAUCCGGUAGUAGAAUCAUUGUAACAACUAGAGAUAUGCAAGUGCUUGUGGCUCACAAAAUUGAUGAUGAUGACAUAUACAGGGUAGGAGCAUUGAAGUUUGAUGAAGCACUUAAGCUUUUCAAUUUGCAUGCCUUCAAACAAAAUCAUAUUGAAAUGGAGUACUCUGAGCUAUCAAAGAGGGUGGUCAAUUAUGCCAAAGGCAUUCCUUUAGUUCUUAAAAUUUUGGGUCAUCUUCUUUGUGGAAAAGAUAAGGAAGUGUGGGAAAGUCAGCUCGACAAAUUUAAAAAAAUGCCAAAUAAGAAAGUUCAUGAUGUGAUGAAACUGAGUUAUGAUGAUCUAGAUCGCAAAGAGCGAACGAUGUUUUUAGAUCUUGCAUGCUUCUUUAGUGGAAUGAAUUUGAAAGUGGGUUACAUAAAACUCUUACUGAAAGAUCAUGAAAGUGAUAAUUCAGUUGUUGUUGGGUUAGAAAGACUCAAAGACAAAGCUCUAAUUAUUAUUUCUGAAGAUAAUGUUGUCUCUGUGCAUGAUAUUAUACAAGAAAUGGCUUGGGAGAUUGUUUGCCAGGAAUCUAGUGAAGACCCAGGAAACUGCAUUCAUUUGGGGGAUCCUAAUGAAGUUUAUGAAGUGUUAAAAUAUGAUAAGGGGACUAAGGCCAUUAGAAGCAUAAGGGCGUUCUUGUCACAAGGCAGGAAGCUCAUGUUGAGCCCUCACAUAUUUGCUAAGAUGAGCAAACUACAAUUUCUGGAUUUUGAAUCCCCAUAUGAUCCAUAUGGCUUGGAUCUUCUUACUCAAGAGCUUCAAUCUUUGCCAACUGAACUAAUAUAUCUUCGUUGGACGAAUUACCCUCUGAAAUCCUUGCCGGUGAAAUUUUUUGCGGAAAAACUUGUUAUUUUGGACUUAUCAGAGAGUAGAGUGAAAAAACUUUGGGAUGGAAUGCAGAAUCUGGUGAAUUUAAAAGAAGUUAUACUUAGUAGAUCCCAUUUUCUAAAGGAGCUGCCAGACUUUUCAAAAGCCACAAAUCUUGAAGUACUUAAUAUCUCUUGGUGUGUUGAGUUGACUAGCGUGCAUAUUUUCUCUCUGCACAAGCUUGAGAAAUUGGAUGCAAGGUUCUGCAGUUCCCUUAUCAGACUCACAAGCGAUGCCCAUUUAACCUCCCUCAACUAUCUCAGACUUGAAUACUGCGAUAAUCUCAGGGAAUUCUCGGUGACAUCAGUGAAUAUGAUAGAACUGAAUUUACAAUACACUCGUUUGGAUGCAUUGCCCACAUCCUUUGGACAUCAAAGCAAGCUUGAAAUCCUAGAUCUUGCAGGCUGUCGCAUUGAGAGCUUGCCUUCAUCCAUUAAAAAUCUUACAAGACUGCGACAUCUAAGCGUGUGUAAUUGUAGGAAGCUUCGGACUCUGCCUGAGCUUUCCCCCUCCCUUGAAACUCUACUUGUCGAAGGGUGCAUAUCACUAGAGACUGUAUUGUUCCCUUCAACAGCCACUGAACAAUUCAAUGAAAAUAGGAGAAGGGUAGGGUUCUGGAAUUGCUUGAACUUGGACAAGUAUUCUCUCAUGGCUAUUGAGUUGAAUGCGCAAAUUAACGUGAUGAAUAUAGCACAACAUAUAUCCACUCCAGAACACGAUUAUGUUGAAAAUUACUAUGAUCAAGCUACGUACGUGUACGUGUAUCCAGAAAGUAGAGUUCCAGAGUGGUUGGAGUAUAAGACGAAAACUGAUUAUGUAAUUAUUGAUCUCUCUUCUGCUCCACCCUCCCCUCCAUUAGGCUUCAUUUUCUGCUUCAUCAUCGGAGGGGGGCAAAGAUUUCAGUCAUUGAAAUUUAACAUCAUUAUCAGUGAUUGUGAGGGUGAGGGUAUCAUGGGCAGUGUCGAUAUGUACAUGUCUUCGCAAUUCAUCAUCACUCGCUCUGAUAACGUGUGUGUGAUGUACGACCAGCGCUGUUCUCGCUACCUAAAUAGCAGUGCCGAAACACAGACAAGGUUUAAAAUCAAGGUUACAGCAAGCUCAGGAUCAUGGAACCUUCUACAAAUUAUAGGGAAUUCGGAAUUUGAUAAGCCGAUUGCAUUAGAGGGGUUCGGGGUAAGCCCAAUAAGCACCCUGGCAUAUCGCAACUUCAGUCAUCAAAUGAAAUUUGGGUGAUUGUUCUCUAAAUACGUCGAUGUUGUGUAACUAAUGGAAUUCGGUUGUGCUUAGUAUCAUCCGAUGAAUCUCCUUCUGGUUUAAGGCGGUGUUCUUAAUGGAAGGACUAUUGCUGUGAUUUUAGAUAGACACUAGCAAUAUUUGCGCCAGAAUAGCAGGGCCUUAUACCUAUUGCUGGUCAUUAAAUUUGCACGCAAGUUUGGUUGUUAGUAUAUUUGCUAACUGAUGUGGCACUUGCAUUCAAUUUACAUGUAUGUAAAAGUUGUACAAGAUCAAUUGAUCAAAACACAUCUCCAAUGGAGUUUAGCCCAUCAAGUUGCCAAGUGUUGUGUGAACUCAAAUGAAUAAAAUUUUGUGAUCUUUGAAAUGUAUUGUACACAACAUUUGGGCGGUGAUCCACACCAUGAA